AUAGUAGCGUGCAGCCAAGGAUGACUUGCCGGCAGAAUGCUGUGUUUCCAGCUCUCCUUGGAUAUGUUCAGAAACAUAUAUAUUGUAAUGAAUGAAUUGGUGCAAGUUGGCAAGUUGUCCUUGGCUACAUGUUUCUUUCU
Citrus x clementina is the source of this 140-nucleotide microRNA precursor. Lineage: Eukaryota; Viridiplantae; Streptophyta; Magnoliopsida; Sapindales; Rutaceae. The record is from Rfam.